UCCUGGUUGGCCCAGGCAGUAUCGCGUGAAAAAUACAACACACGACAAGGGUUUCGCUCGUUGCCGGACUUAACCGAACAUCUCACGACACGAGCUGAGGACGGCCAUGCAACACCUGUCACUGGGUUCCCGAAGGCACAGCCCUGUUUCCAGAGUCGGUCCAAAGCCGUUCGAGCCCAGGUAAGGUUCUUCGCGUUGCGUCGAAUUAAACCACAUGCUCCACCGCUUGUGCGGGUCCCCGUCAAUUCCUUUGAGUUUCAGUCUUGCGACCGUACUCCCCAGGCGGAAUGCUUAAAGCGUUAGCGACGGCACCCGGGGACUUUAUAACCCCAGACACCAAGCAUUCAUCGUUUAAGGCUAGGACUAC
RNAcentral lists this unclassified non-coding RNA (367 nucleotides) under uncultured Acidobacteriota bacterium. RNAcentral's name for it is "uncultured Acidobacteria bacterium contains 16S-23S intergenic spacer region". Lineage: Bacteria; Pseudomonadati; Acidobacteriota. The record is from RNAcentral.